Long non-coding RNA from Myxocyprinus asiaticus (Chinese sucker), 1778 nucleotides. RefSeq lists it as uncharacterized. The record is from RefSeq and is a predicted model, not a curated record. Lineage: Eukaryota; Metazoa; Chordata; Actinopteri; Cypriniformes; Catostomidae. The transcript has 3 exons.
CAAUAAUCAAAAUCCCAAACGCAGAACAUCUAAGAGUUUCUGGGCUUUUGAUAUCUUGGAUAAAGGGUCUGAGGUUCAACUAUUUGGGUUUUGAAGGUGGAAUGGGAGACAUGAUUUACAGAUAGCUUUUUUCAGUGCCAGAGAGGGUGAUGGUCUCCAUUCGUCUGUUUCCUUUUGAGUGUCAGCCCAAUCAAGAAUGGGAUUGGCUGUCAUGGCUGUCAGACUGAAGAAUGAGGGGAGAUUGGGAUGAAAGUUCACUUCAGACAUGAGACUGAUGGACUGACUGACUAAAUGAGUGAAAGCCAGUGUGAAAGGGCGCAUUAUCCUGCUGAAAGAGGCCACUGCCAUCAGGGAAUUCCAUUGCCAUGAAGGGGUGUACCUGGUCUGUAACAAUGUUUAGGUAGGUGGCACAUGUCAAAUUGACGUUCCCCAGCAAAACAUUGCCCAGAGAAUUACACUCCGUCCACUGGCUUGUCAUCUUCCCACAGUGCAUCCUGGUGCCAUCACUUCCCCAGGUAAACGUGCACACGUACACGGCCAUCCACAUGAUGUAAAAGAAAAUGGGACUCAGUGGACCAGGUGACCUUUUUCCACUGCUCCAAGGUCCAGUUCAGACGCUUGCAUGCUCAUUGUAAUCGCUUUCGACGGUGGAAAAGAGUCAUCAUUGGCACUCUGACCGAUCAGCUGCUACGCAGCCCCAUAUGCAGCAGGGUGCGAUGCAUUGUGUGUUUUUACACAUUCCUUCCAUAACCAUCAUUAAAAUUGUGUAACAAUUUGGCCCUUGUCAAAGUUGCUCAGGUCUUUUCUUGCACCCAUUUCUCCUGCAUUCAACAUGUUGACUAUGAGAACUGAUUGUUCACUUAGCAUCUAAUCUACCCAGACCUAUUUAUAUACAUGUACUGUAUAUAUAAGACUGUGGCAGGGCUGGAUUGGUAAUCUGGAAUACCAGGCAUUCUCCCGGAGUGCCGACGCACUUUGUGGCCAAUCAGGGGUGGACUGGCCAUCGGGAGAACCGGGCCAGCUGCGAAACGGGCCGAAUGGGCCGCGAUAAGCUGAAAUGAGCCCCUGCGUUAUGCAGAACGGGCCACAAAUGUCACCACGAUAUGCAGAAAAGGACAGCAACACACCCACCCACACACCCAGUCCACCCCUGGACUGUGGAGAGAUGGGCGUGGCCGAGCAACAUCUGUGGAGAGCGAGGCCGGGAGAUAGGGAACAUAAGGAUUGACACCUGGGGAAAUUAUCUCUGACAGCUGUUUUGUAUUAACAGUGAAAGCUGGAGGGAGAUCAGCAGAGCCGCAGUGAAGACAGAGACUGGAAGCUGAAAACGUUGUGGAUGGCAGCGUUUCUUUACGUUUAUUUGAAACCUUAUAAUAAGGACUUUAUGUUGAGUUUUGUGAGAAAAGCAGCUAAAUAAAUCACCCCAAAGUGUGUAAGCUGGUUCCUGCUUCCUGACUUGCCCUUUUAAAUGACUGAGAGUGUCACAGAGACCUAUUAAGAUAGAUGGUUUAUUUGAGAGAUAGGGGAACCUUUUAUCUUUUGAGCAGCAUAUUAAAAAUGUAUUAUUGAGGUUCUUUGCAUUUCUUUACAUACUUUACCUGUAUGCAGUGUGUGAUGCUGAGAACCUCGGGGAAAAAAUACUGUUUGCAGAAGUGUUCUUAAGGUGAUUUUCACAUUUUAAAGAUGCAGUUAUUAUGUGACGAGUCUUUUCACCUGAAAAAAAAAAUAUAUAUACUGGUCAAAAUUAUGUUUUACACUAUCAAACAAAGUGACAUUGC